GUGGUUUGUUUUUUCUUUUU
RNAcentral lists this microRNA (20 nucleotides) under Macrophomina phaseolina MS6. RNAcentral describes it as "miR-1603". Lineage: Eukaryota; Fungi; Ascomycota; Dothideomycetes; Botryosphaeriales; Botryosphaeriaceae. The record is from RNAcentral.